UACGUAGGGGGCAAGCGUUGUCCGGAAUCAUUGGGCGUAAAGCGAGCGUAGGCGGCCCGAUAAGUCUGGUGUGAAAGUCAACGGCUCAACCGUUGAAAGCCGGUGGAUACUGUCGGGCUAGAGUACGGAAGAGGCAAGUGGAAUUCCUGGUGUAGCGGUGGAAUGCGCAGAUAUCAGGAGGAACACCUAUAGCGAAGGCAGGUUGCUGGGAAGAAACUGACGCUAAGGCUCGAAAGCGUGGGGAGCGAACAGG
RNAcentral lists this ribosomal RNA (253 nucleotides) under uncultured bacterium. RNAcentral's name for it is "partial 16S ribosomal RNA". It matches the Rfam family "Bacterial small subunit ribosomal RNA", at positions 524 to 776 of the family's 1533-position model. The record is from RNAcentral.